Molecule: transfer RNA, 75 nt
Filed under: Candidatus Woesearchaeota archaeon
Lineage: Archaea; Nanobdellati; Candidatus Woesearchaeota
Description: tRNA-His
Rfam family: tRNA
About the family: Transfer RNA (tRNA) molecules are approximately 80 nucleotides in length. Their secondary structure includes four short double-helical elements and three loops (D, anti-codon, and T loops).
Source: RNAcentral
GUGAUCGUGGUGAAACGGUUAUCAUAGAAGCCUGUGGAGCUUCGGUUGGGGGUUCGAUUCCCCCCGAUCGCCCCA